CUCUUUUCUAGCUUUCUAUAUCUCUGUUCUUUGUUUUUCUUGCGUCGUUUCUUGUUUUUGUGAAAUCAAUCAGCGAAAAUGAGAGAGUGCAUUUCCAUUCACAUUGGUCAGGCUGGUAUCCAGGUUGGCAAUGCCUGCUGGGAGCUUUACUGCCUUGAGCAUGGCAUCCAGCCUGAUGGCCAGAUGCCAGGUGACAAGACCGUUGGCGGAGGUGACGAUGCCUUCAACACCUUUUUCAGUGAAACUGGUGCAGGGAAGCACGUGCCUCGCGCUGUCUUUGUAGAUCUUGAGCCCACUGUCAUUGAUGAAGUUAGGACUGGAACUUACCGCCAGCUCUUCCACCCUGAGCAGCUCAUCAGUGGCAAAGAAGAUGCUGCUAACAACUUUGCCCGUGGCCAUUACACCAUUGGCAAGGAAAUUGUUGAUCUAUGCUUGGACCGCAUCAGAAAGCUUGCUGA
Molecule: unclassified non-coding RNA, 458 nt
Filed under: Hevea brasiliensis (rubber tree)
Lineage: Eukaryota; Viridiplantae; Streptophyta; Magnoliopsida; Malpighiales; Euphorbiaceae
Source: RNAcentral